AGCGAACGCUGGCGGCAGGCUUAACACAUGCAAGUCGAACGGGCACCUUCGGGUGCCAGUGGCAGACGGGUGAGUAACACGUGGGAACGUGCCCUUUGGUUCGGAACAACUCCGGGAAACUGGAGCUAAUACCGGAUAAGCCCUUCGGGGAAGGAUUAUCGCCAAAGGAUCGGCCCGCGUCUGAUUAGCUUGUUGGUGAGGUAAUGGCUCACCAAGGCGACGAUCAGUAGCUGGUCNGAGAGGAUGAUCAGCCACACUGGGACUGAGACACGGCCCAGACUCCUACGGGAGGCAGCAGUGGGGAAUUUUGGUACAAUGGGGGCAACCCUGAUCCAGCCAUGCCGCGUGCGGGAAGAAGGCC
This 361-nucleotide ribosomal RNA is filed under the name uncultured bacterium. RNAcentral's name for it is "bacterial SSU rRNA". It matches the Rfam family "Bacterial small subunit ribosomal RNA", at positions 29 to 416 of the family's 1533-position model. The record is from RNAcentral.